This 801-nucleotide ribosomal RNA is filed under the name sediment metagenome. Its description in RNAcentral is "bacterial SSU rRNA". It matches the Rfam family "Archaeal small subunit ribosomal RNA", at positions 645 to 1467 of the family's 1478-position model. The record is from RNAcentral.
AUCCUUUCUGGACUAACGAUAGCGAAGGCACCUUACGAGAACGGAUCUGACAGUGAGGGAUGAAGGCUAGGGGCGCAAAACGGAUUAGAUACCCGUGUAGUCCUGGCAGUAAACGCUGCUCACUAAACAUCGGGCCCUCUUCGGGAGGAUUCGGUGCUGUAGGGAAGCCGUAAAGUGAGCUACCUGGGAAGUAUAGUCGCAAGACCGAAACUUAAAGGAAUUGGCGGGGAGACACUACAAUGGGUGACGCGUGCGGUUCAAUUAGAUUUUACACCGUGAACCUCACCAGGAGCGACAGCAGGAUGAAGGUCAGUCUAAAGGGCUUACCUGACACGCUGAGCGGAGAUGCAUGGCCGACGUCAGCCUGUGCUGUGAAGUGACCUGUUAAAUCAGGUAACAGGCGAGACCCGUGUCGAUAAUUACUACAGAAAUGGGUACCUUAUCGAGACUGCCUUGGUAACAAGGAGGAAGGUGCGGGCUACGUUAGGUGAGUACGUCCCUAAUCCCCUGGGCUACACGCGCGCGGCAAUGGUAUGUUCAAAUGGAUGCAACUCCGAAAGGAGAAGCUAAUCCCCUAACGCAUAUCUCAGUCCAGAUUGAGGGUUGCAACCCACCCUCAUGACGUUGGAAUUCGUAGUAAUCGGAUAUUAGCACUGUCCGGUGAAUAAGUCCCUGUCUCUUGCACACACCGCCCGUCAAACCAACCGAGUUAUGUAGGGGUGAAGCCCUUUUUGGGAAGAACCUUUUCAUGACAAGGUAGGUUAAGUCGUCACAAGGUAUCUGUAGGGGAACCUGCAGAUG